Molecule: ribosomal RNA, 492 nt
Filed under: uncultured bacterium
Lineage: Bacteria
Description: partial 16S ribosomal RNA
Rfam family: Bacterial small subunit ribosomal RNA
Source: RNAcentral
AGUGAACGCUGGCGGUAGGCCUAUCACAUGCAAGUCGAACGGCAGCACAGUAAGAGCUUGCUCUUACGGGUGGCGAGUGGCGGACGGGUGAGGAAUACAUCGGAAUCUACUUUUUCGUGGGGGAUAACGUAGGGAAACUUACGCUAAUACCGCAUACGACCUACGGGUGAAAGCAGGGGAUCUUCGGACCUUGCGCGAUUGAAUGAGCCGAUGUCGGAUUAGCUAGUUGGCGGGGUAAAGGCCCACCAAGGCGACGAUCCGUAGCUGGUCUGAGAGGAUGAUCAGCCACACUGGAACUGAGGCACGGUCCAGACUCCUACGGGAGGCAGCAGUGGGGAAUAUUGGACAAUGGGCGCAAGCCUGAUCCAGCCAUACCGCGUGGGUGAAGAAGGCCUUCGGGUUGUAAAGCCCUUUUGUUGGGAAAGAAAAGCAGCAGGUUAAUACCCCGCUGUUCUGACGGUACCCAAAGAAUAAGCACCGGCUAACUUCGUG